CCUUGAAAUACCACCCUUUAAUGUUUGAUGUUCUAACGUGGACCCGUGAUCCGGGUUGCGGACAGUGUCUGGUGGGUAGUUUGACUGGGGCGGUCUCCUCCUAAAGAGUAACGGAGGAGCACGAAGGUUGGCUAAUCCUGGUCGGACAUCAGGAGGUUAGUGCAAUGGCAUAAGCCAGCUUGACUGCGAGCGUGACGGCGCGAGCAGGUGCGAAAGCAGGUCAUAGUGAUCCGGUGGUUCUGAAUGGAAGGGCCAUCGCUCAACGGAUAAAAGGUACUCCGGGGAUAACAGGCUGAUACCGCCCAAGAGUUCAUAUCGACGGCGGUGUUUGGCACCUCGAUGUCGGCUCAUCACAUCCUGGGGCUGAAGUAGGUCCCAAGGGUAUGGCUGUUCGCCAUUUAAAGUGGUACGCGAGCUGGGUUUAGAACGUCGUGAGACAGUUCGGUCCCUAUCUGCCGUGGGCGCUGGAGAACUGAGGGGGGCUGCUCCUAGUACGAGAGGACCGGAGUGGACGCAUCACUGGUGUUCGGGUUGUCAUGCCAAUGGCACUGCCCGGUAGCUAAAUGCGGAAGAGAUAAGUGCUGAAAGCAUCUAAGCACGAAACUUGCCCCGAGAUGAGUUCUCCCUGAGACUUUAGGUCUCCUGAAGGAACGUUGAAGACGACGACGUUGAUAGGCCGGGUGUGUAAGCGCAGCGAUGCGUUGAGCUAACCGGUACUAAUGAACCGUGAGGCUUAACCUUACA
This 744-nucleotide ribosomal RNA is filed under the name Salmonella enterica. RNAcentral's name for it is "partial 23S ribosomal RNA". It matches the Rfam family "Bacterial large subunit ribosomal RNA", at positions 2190 to 2925 of the family's 2925-position model. RNAcentral also lists the same sequence under 8 other names. The record is from RNAcentral. Lineage: Bacteria; Pseudomonadati; Pseudomonadota; Gammaproteobacteria; Enterobacterales; Enterobacteriaceae.